Molecule: non-coding RNA, 81 nt
Organism: Candidatus Schekmanbacteria bacterium GWA2_38_11
Lineage: Bacteria; Candidatus Schekmaniibacteriota
Source: Rfam
UCUCCGAAAAGGCAAACCCUGUGUAAGCAGGGGACGCAAAGCCAACGGAUCCUGAACAAUUAGGAUGGCCGGGUUGCCAAA